RNAcentral lists this non-coding RNA (67 nucleotides) under Enterocloster aldenensis. RNAcentral describes it as "Fluoride riboswitch". The stretch from base 7 to 66 matches the Rfam family "Fluoride riboswitch aptamer (crcB RNA motif)", at positions 10 to 57 of the family's 64-position model. Lineage: Bacteria; Bacillati; Bacillota; Clostridia; Lachnospirales; Lachnospiraceae. The record is from RNAcentral.
UUUACAGGGAAUGAGGUUCUCCCUUAGUGCUGCACUAAAACCGCUUAUAUAAGCUGAUGACUUCUGU